GCCUGGGUGGCUCAGUUGGUUGAGCGACCGACUUCAGCUCAGGUCAUGAUCUCGCAGUUUGUGAGUUCGAGCCCCACAUCAGGCU
RNAcentral lists this transfer RNA (85 nucleotides) under Felis catus (domestic cat). It matches the Rfam family "tRNA". Rfam says of the family: Transfer RNA (tRNA) molecules are approximately 80 nucleotides in length. Their secondary structure includes four short double-helical elements and three loops (D, anti-codon, and T loops). Lineage: Eukaryota; Metazoa; Chordata; Mammalia; Carnivora; Felidae. The record is from Rfam by way of RNAcentral.